AGAAUGCCGGAAUGAGUAGCGAGAAUUAUGUGAGAAUCAUAAUGGCCGAAAAUCUAAGGUUUCCUGAGGAAGGUUCGUCCGCUCAGGGUAAGCCGGGGGCUAAGGCGAGGCGGAGACGCGUAGCCGAUGCACAUACGGUUGAAAUUCCGUAGCCACCGAAAGAUUUAAGUACAGGGACGCUUUAGAAGUGAUGUUGCCGGGCGAUGGUUGACCCGGUCGUAAGGGAUCGAAAAUGAGUAGAGAAGUCAUCAUGGAAAGAGACAAGAAAAGCUGUAUGAAUAUCUUAGGUGCCCGUACCGCAAACCGACACAGGUAGAUAGGAAGAAGAUUCUAAGGCCAACGGGAGAAGGGUUGUUAAGGAACUCGGCAAGUUGACCCCGUAACUUAGGGAUAAGGGGUGCUCAAGUGAUUGAGCCGCAGAGAAUAGGCCCAGGCGACUGUUUAGCAAAAACACAGGUCUCUGCUAAAUCGAAAGAUGACGUAUAGGGGCUGACACCUGCCCGGUGCCGGAAGGUUAAGAGGAGAUGUGAGAGCAUUGAAUUGAAGCCCCGGUAAACGGCGGCCGUAACGAUAACGGUCCUAAGGUAGCGAAAUUCCUUGUCAGGUAAGUUCUGACCCGCACGAAAGGUGUAACGAUCUGGGCACUGUCUCAACAACCCGCCCGGCGAAAUUGUAGUACCGGUGAAGAUGCCGGUUACCCGCGACUAGACGGAAAGACCCCAUGGAGCUUUACUGUAGCCUAAUAUUGGAUUUCGGUAUUUCACGUACAGGAUAGGUGGGAGACUGGGAAGCACAGGCGUCAGCUUGUGUGGAGUCGACCUUGGGAUACCACUCUUGGAGUGCUGGAAUUCUAACCUGCGGCUUUGAAGCAAGUCGGGGGACAUUGUUAGGUGGGCAGUUUGACUGGGGCGGUCGCCUCCUAAAGAGUAACGGAGGCGCUCAAAGGUUCGCUCUGCAUGGAUGGAAACCAUACGUCAGAGUGUAAACGCAAAAGCGAGCCUAACUGCGAGAAUGACGGUUCGAGCAGUAACGAAAGUUGGAGUUAGUGAUCCGGCGGUAUGUGAAUGGAAAUGCCGUCGCUCAACGGAUAAAAGCUUCCCUGGGGAUAACAGGCUGAUCUCCCCCAAGAGUCCACAUCGACGGGGAGGUUUGGCACCUCGAUGUCGGCUCAUCGCAUCCUGGGGCUGAAUUCGGUCCCAAGGGUUUGGCUGUUCGCCAAUUAAAGCGGUACGCGAGCUGGGUUCAGAACGUCGUGAGACAGUUCGGUCCCUAUCUGUCGUGGGCGUAGGAUAUUUGCAAGGAGCUGUCCCUAGUACGAGAGGACCGGGAUGGACGCACCUCUGGUGCACCAGUUGUCACGCCAGUGGCACAGCUGGGCAGCUAUGUGCGGAACGGAUAAACGCUGAAGGCAUCUAAGCGUGAAGCCGCCCUUAAGAUAAGAUAUCCCUUCUGUUUACAGAGUAAGACCCCUUGAAGACUACAAGGUUGUUAGGCUCAAAGUGUAAGCACGGUGACGUGUUUAGCUAGCGAGUACUAAUCGGUCGAGGGCUUAACCG
This 1556-nucleotide ribosomal RNA is filed under the name metagenome. RNAcentral describes it as "bacterial LSU rRNA". It matches the Rfam family "Bacterial large subunit ribosomal RNA", at positions 1291 to 2925 of the family's 2925-position model. The record is from RNAcentral.